AGCUCCAAUAGCGUAUACUAAAGUUGUUGCAGUUAAAAAGCUCGUGGUUGGAUUCGUGGUGUGUCCAGUUGGCCUUUGUUCUUUGAGUGAUAGUGCUGUGACUGAUCUGCCAUGUUUGGGCAGAAUUUGUGUUGCAUUAAGUUGUCGUGCAGGAGAUGCCAAUUGUUUACUGUGAACAAAUUAGAGUGUUCUAAGCAGGCUUGUGUCUCGGAAUAUACUAGCAUGGAAUAAUAAUAUAGGACCUUGGUACUAUUUUGUUGGUUUGCGCACUGAGGUAAUGAUUAGGAGGAGCAGUUGGGGGUAUUUGUAUUCCAUUGUCAGAGGUGAAAUUUCUUGAUUUUUGGAAGAAAAAUUACUGUGAAAGUAUUUACCAAUGAUCUUUUCA
This 385-nucleotide ribosomal RNA is filed under the name uncultured eukaryote. Its description in RNAcentral is "SSU rRNA". It matches the Rfam family "Eukaryotic small subunit ribosomal RNA", at positions 587 to 972 of the family's 1831-position model. The record is from RNAcentral.